Molecule: long non-coding RNA, 389 nt
Filed under: Thrips palmi
Lineage: Eukaryota; Metazoa; Arthropoda; Insecta; Thysanoptera; Thripidae
Description: uncharacterized LOC117640310, transcript variant X1
Source: RNAcentral
CUUCUCGGGAAAUUACAUCAUUAGUUGAAGUUCGUUCAGUCGAAGAAGAAACGCAUCUCGGACUGCAGAUAGAUCACGCUCGGACUUCAGCCAUCGUAAGCUUAUUGGAAUCACGUGAGACGCAAUGAGACAACUCUGCCUUACUUCGAUCAGCUCAACUGAAAUGCAGUAUCUGACUUCCGGUCUUCGCUUCAUCCUUCCAGUACAAGCCGGUCAAUGAAGUAACGUAUCACAAUACCAACUCCAAGCAUGAUCGUUUCAUCACAUUCUGGAGAUUGGUUCCUCGCUGCAUCAGAAAUAAAUUCUGGGACUCCUUGUUCGACCGAACAUUCCUUUGCACUUGGAAGGCUUUCUCUCCUGUGCGGGUCCCAAGGUGAGUUUUUGUCAAC